Molecule: ribosomal RNA, 647 nt
Filed under: Tylenchulus palustris
Lineage: Eukaryota; Metazoa; Nematoda; Chromadorea; Rhabditida; Tylenchulidae
Description: eukaryotic LSU rRNA
Rfam family: Eukaryotic large subunit ribosomal RNA
Source: RNAcentral
CAAAGCACUUUGAAGAGAGAGUUAAAGAGGACGUGAAACUGGCACGAUGGAAACGGAUAGAGCCAGCGAAUUUGUUCGUACUCAGCCGAAGGCCCUGCGUUCGGUUCUGUUGUGUUUCCGACUCUGAGCACACAGGGCUGUUGUCAAGGGGUCGAGGUGCAUUUGCGGACGAUUGCGCUGAGGCUUGCGGAGCAGCGGUUGGACCCGGUUCAUGCGGCUUCCCUCUGGGUUGUACCCUGGAUCGGUAGACAGCUGUUUGUUCUGCUCGUACUGGUGGUUCGGGUAACGGGCGAAGUUGUCGCUGGGCAGUUUGGGCGAUGGCAAUAGCAAGCUUUGCCUAGCUUGAGCGUCUCGGCUGGCGGCGGAGCUCUCGGACCGGCUCUCGGUGUAAAAGCUGUCCAUCUAUCCGACCCGUCUUGAAACACGGACCAAGGAGUUUAGCGUAUGUGCGAGCCACUGGGUGUUGAAAACCUAUGGGCGCAAUGAAAGUGAAGGCUCGGCAGCCGAGCUGACAUGCGGCCGCUCUGGCUUCGGCCUGGGCGGGCAGCAUGGUCCCGUUUCGGUCGCUUGCGACGAAGCGGAGACAGAGUGCAUGCGCUGAGACCCGAAAGAUGGUGAACUAUUCCUGAGCAGGACGAAGCCAGAGG